CGGGUCGUAGCGCAGAGGCAGACGCACCGCCUUGCCCAGGCGGGAGACGCUGGUUCGAAUCCAGCCGCCCGU
RNAcentral lists this transfer RNA (72 nucleotides) under Lentzea guizhouensis. RNAcentral describes it as "tRNA-Gly". It matches the Rfam family "tRNA". Rfam says of the family: Transfer RNA (tRNA) molecules are approximately 80 nucleotides in length. The record is from RNAcentral. Lineage: Bacteria; Bacillati; Actinomycetota; Actinomycetes; Pseudonocardiales; Pseudonocardiaceae.